This 1554-nucleotide ribosomal RNA is filed under the name Klebsiella pneumoniae. RNAcentral's name for it is "bacterial SSU rRNA". It matches the Rfam family "Bacterial small subunit ribosomal RNA". The record is from RNAcentral. Lineage: Bacteria; Pseudomonadati; Pseudomonadota; Gammaproteobacteria; Enterobacterales; Enterobacteriaceae.
ACUUAAAUUGAAGAGUUUGAUCAUGGCUCAGAUUGAACGCUGGCGGCAGGCCUAACACAUGCAAGUCGAGCGGUAGCACAGAGAGCUUGCUCUCGGGUGACGAGCGGCGGACGGGUGAGUAAUGUCUGGGAAACUGCCUGAUGGAGGGGGAUAACUACUGGAAACGGUAGCUAAUACCGCAUAAUGUCGCAAGACCAAAGUGGGGGACCUUCGGGCCUCAUGCCAUCAGAUGUGCCCAGAUGGGAUUAGCUAGUAGGUGGGGUAACGGCUCACCUAGGCGACGAUCCCUAGCUGGUCUGAGAGGAUGACCAGCCACACUGGAACUGAGACACGGUCCAGACUCCUACGGGAGGCAGCAGUGGGGAAUAUUGCACAAUGGGCGCAAGCCUGAUGCAGCCAUGCCGCGUGUGUGAAGAAGGCCUUCGGGUUGUAAAGCACUUUCAGCGGGGAGGAAGGCGUUAAGGUUAAUAACCUCAUCGAUUGACGUUACCCGCAGAAGAAGCACCGGCUAACUCCGUGCCAGCAGCCGCGGUAAUACGGAGGGUGCAAGCGUUAAUCGGAAUUACUGGGCGUAAAGCGCACGCAGGCGGUCUGUCAAGUCGGAUGUGAAAUCCCCGGGCUCAACCUGGGAACUGCAUUCGAAACUGGCAGGCUAGAGUCUUGUAGAGGGGGGUAGAAUUCCAGGUGUAGCGGUGAAAUGCGUAGAGAUCUGGAGGAAUACCGGUGGCGAAGGCGGCCCCCUGGACAAAGACUGACGCUCAGGUGCGAAAGCGUGGGGAGCAAACAGGAUUAGAUACCCUGGUAGUCCACGCCGUAAACGAUGUCGAUUUGGAGGUUGUGCCCUUGAGGCGUGGCUUCCGGAGCUAACGCGUUAAAUCGACCGCCUGGGGAGUACGGCCGCAAGGUUAAAACUCAAAUGAAUUGACGGGGGCCCGCACAAGCGGUGGAGCAUGUGGUUUAAUUCGAUGCAACGCGAAGAACCUUACCUGGUCUUGACAUCCACAGAACUUUCCAGAGAUGGAUUGGUGCCUUCGGGAACUGUGAGACAGGUGCUGCAUGGCUGUCGUCAGCUCGUGUUGUGAAAUGUUGGGUUAAGUCCCGCAACGAGCGCAACCCUUAUCCUUUGUUGCCAGCGGUUCGGCCGGGAACUCAAAGGAGACUGCCAGUGAUAAACUGGAGGAAGGUGGGGAUGACGUCAAGUCAUCAUGGCCCUUACGACCAGGGCUACACACGUGCUACAAUGGCAUAUACAAAGAGAAGCGACCUCGCGAGAGCAAGCGGACCUCAUAAAGUAUGUCGUAGUCCGGAUUGGAGUCUGCAACUCGACUCCAUGAAGUCGGAAUCGCUAGUAAUCGUAGAUCAGAAUGCUACGGUGAAUACGUUCCCGGGCCUUGUACACACCGCCCGUCACACCAUGGGAGUGGGUUGCAAAAGAAGUAGGUAGCUUAACCUUCGGGAGGGCGCUUACCACUUUGUGAUUCAUGACUGGGGUGAAGUCGUAACAAGGUAACCGUAGGGGAACCUGCGGUUGGAUCACCUCCUUACCUUAAAGAA